UUAACACAUGCAAGUCGAACGAGGAUAUACCAGAGGAGAGCUCGGCAGGAAUCAGGUAUAUUCGAGUGGCGGACGGGUGAGUAACGCGUGAGCAACCUGUCCCAGACAGGGGGAUAACACUUGGAACAGGUGCUAAUACCGCAUAAGACCACGGUAUCACAUGGUAGUGGGGGUAAAAGGAGCAAUCCGGUUUGGGGUGGGCUCGCGUCCGGAUUUAGAUAGUUGGUGAGGUAACGGCCCACCAAGUCGACGAUCGGUAGCCGACCUGAGAGGGUGAUCGGCCACAUUGGAACUGAGAGACGGUCCAAACUCCUACGGGAGGCAGCAGUGGGGAAUAUUGGGCAAUGGGCGAAAGCCUGACCCAGCAACGCCGCGUGAGUGAAGAAGGCCUUCGGGUUGUAAAGCUCUGUUAUAGUUGACGAAGGAAGUGACGGUAGGCUAUAAGGAAGCCCCGGCUAACUACGUGCCAGCCGCCGC
This 477-nucleotide ribosomal RNA is filed under the name uncultured bacterium. Its description in RNAcentral is "bacterial SSU rRNA". It matches the Rfam family "Bacterial small subunit ribosomal RNA", at positions 48 to 518 of the family's 1533-position model. The record is from RNAcentral.